GACGAACCGUGCGAACGUUGUUCGGAAUCACUGGGCUUAAAGGGCGCGUAGGUGGUUUGCCAAGUCGGGGUUGAAAUCUUUCGGCUUAACCGGAAAAGUGGCUUCGAUACUGGCAAGCUGGAGGGAGGUAGGGGCGGAUGGAACUUCCGGUGGAGCGGUGAAAUGUGUUGAUAUCGGAAGGAACGCCGGUGGCGAAAGCGAUCCGCUGGACCUCUUCUGACGCUGAGGCGCGAAAGCUAGGGGAGCGAACGGG
Molecule: ribosomal RNA, 253 nt
Filed under: uncultured bacterium
Lineage: Bacteria
Description: partial 16S ribosomal RNA
Rfam family: Bacterial small subunit ribosomal RNA
Source: RNAcentral